Cervus elaphus (red deer) is the source of this 414-nucleotide long non-coding RNA. RefSeq lists it as uncharacterized. The record is from RefSeq and is a predicted model, not a curated record. NCBI's taxonomy places the organism in Eukaryota, Metazoa, Chordata, Mammalia, Artiodactyla, Cervidae. The transcript has 3 exons.
GAAAAAUCCCUUUUUUCUGCAAGGCAUAAGGAGAAAGAGGGGAAAGGAGAUGCCACCAUAAGGUUCCAGAGAAUCAGGGGACAAGUCAGUCCAUUUCACUUUCUCUGUCUGAGGGUCCCAUCUAACUCUCAGUAAAUCUUGAUGCAUGGUUCAGCUCCUGGGAAGGAAUUUUCUGAAUUUGCAAAACCUUUUGUGGAGAAGUGGAGAAAGGAGGGAUCAAACGUAAAGUGACUCAGACAAGGCCCUGGGCAAGACUGUCUUUCUGCAUUAAAGGAUGAGAGAGCCAAGUCCAACCCCACGUCCAUUGUCUUGGAUAUGGUUGUAGUUUUCUGAUGAUGACAAGCUCACAAAGCAAGUUCGACUCUAUGAUCUGACAGAAAAGGUUUUGUUCAAAGUGAGUUAUGAUUACUUCAA